RNAcentral lists this ribosomal RNA (519 nucleotides) under Psychrobacillus sp. RNAcentral's name for it is "bacterial SSU rRNA". It matches the Rfam family "Bacterial small subunit ribosomal RNA", at positions 53 to 562 of the family's 1533-position model. Lineage: Bacteria; Bacillati; Bacillota; Bacilli; Caryophanales; Bacillaceae. The record is from RNAcentral.
ACAUGCAGUCGAGCGAAUGACGAAGAAGCUUGCUUCUUCUGAUUUAGCGGCGGACGGGUGAGUAACACGUGGGCAACCUGCCCUGUAGAUUGGGAUAACUCCGGGAAACCGGGGCUAAUACCGAAUAAUCCAUUUCCUCACAUGGGGAGAUGUUAAAAGACGGCUUCUGCUGUUCCUUCCGGGAGGGGCCCCCGCCCCAUUACCUAUUUGGGAAGGUACCGGUCCACCAGGGCAACAAUCCUAACCCAACCGGAAAGGGGAACCGGCCCCCCGGGAAUGAAAACCCGGCCCAAAUCCCUCCGGAAGGCACCAUUAGGAAUCCUCCCCCAAGGAACAAAGUCCGAAGGAACCAUGGCCCCUGGAUGAAAAAAGGUUUUCGGAUCGAAAACCUCUUUUUGAAGGAAGAACAAUACGAAGGGAACUGCUCGUACUUGACGGUACCUCAUAAAAAGCAAGGCUAACUACGUGCCACAGCCGCGGAAUACGUAGUGGCAAGCGUUGUCCGGAAUAUUGGGCGUA